GAUGAACGCUGGCGGCGUGCCUAAUACAUGCAAGUCGAGCGAACGGACGAGAAGCUUGCUUUUCUGAUGUUAGCGGCGGACGGGUGAGUAACACGUGGAUAACCUACCUAUAAGACUGGGAUAACUUCGGGAAACCGGAGCUAAUACCGGAUAAUAUUUUGAACCGCAUGGUUCAAAAGUGAAAGACGGUCUUGCUGUCACUUAUAGAUGGAUCCGCGCUGCAUUAGCUAGUUGGUAAGGUAACGGCUUACCAAGGCAACGAUGCAUAGCCGACCUGAGAGGGUGAUCGGCCACACGGGAACUGAGACACGGUCCAGACUCCUACGGGAGGCAGCAGUAGGGAAUCUUCCGCAAAGGGCGAAAGCCUGACGGAGCAACGCCGCGUGAGUGAUGAAGGUCUUCGGAUCGUAAAACUCUGUUAUUAGGGAAGAACAUAUGUGUAAGUAACUGUGCACAUCUUGACGGUACCUAAUCAGAAAGCCACGGCUAACUACGUG
Molecule: ribosomal RNA, 497 nt
Filed under: uncultured bacterium
Lineage: Bacteria
Description: partial 16S ribosomal RNA
Rfam family: Bacterial small subunit ribosomal RNA
Source: RNAcentral